GACACGACUCCCGGCAAUGGAUAUCUCGGCUCCCGCAUCGAUGAAGAGCGCAGCGAAAUGCGAUACGUGGUGCGAAUUGCAGAAUCCCGCGAAC
Molecule: ribosomal RNA, 94 nt
Filed under: Koellensteinia eburnea
Lineage: Eukaryota; Viridiplantae; Streptophyta; Magnoliopsida; Asparagales; Orchidaceae
Description: 5.8S ribosomal RNA
Rfam family: 5.8S ribosomal RNA
About the family: 5.8S ribosomal RNA (5.8S rRNA) is a component of the large subunit of the eukaryotic ribosome.
Source: RNAcentral